This 1690-nucleotide ribosomal RNA is filed under the name Axinella corrugata. RNAcentral describes it as "eukaryotic LSU rRNA". It matches the Rfam family "Eukaryotic large subunit ribosomal RNA", at positions 370 to 1838 of the family's 3401-position model. The record is from RNAcentral. Lineage: Eukaryota; Metazoa; Porifera; Demospongiae; Axinellida; Axinellidae.
AGUACUUUGAAAAGAGAGUCAAAAAGACCGCGAAACCGUUAGGAGGGAAACGAAUGCAGCCAAAGUGGCUCUCAUUCAGGCUCAGGAGUUGUUGGUGCGCAGUGCCAGGCUGUUGGACGCCGAAGGGUGCGGCAGUCAGGAUACAGCAUGCCGAGCACUCUGCAUUCCUGAUGAGAGUCGGCCAACAGCAGUUACCCCUGACUCGAAAGGACUGUCGGGAAGGUAGCUUCUUGGUUUACCAGGAAGAACUUAUAGCCAUCGGCCUGGCAGUUGGGGGUGACUGAGGAGUGCUGUGACUUUUCACACCAGCAGUGCAGGCUCCCUAGGGGCCGGGUCGCUUCUGUCCGUGUGGACAAUGCUUCCGGGACUGCAUGCAGUGUCGAAAGACAUGUGUGUGCUCGGGCGGGAGGUUGGCCACGCCUUGCACUGAAGUUGUUGGUACCUGCAUGGUUUCAUUCGACCCGUCUUGAAACACGGGCCAAGGAGUGCAACAUGCGUGCGAGUCUUGGGGUGGAAAACCUGUUGGCGCAAUGAAAGUGAAGGUAGGCUUGGUCUACCGAGGCAAGAGCCACCUUGGGGUGGCACAUUGUCGACCGAUCCCAGGCUACGCUGUAGUGGGAUUUGAGUGAGAGCGUGCCUGUUGCGACCCGAAAGAUGGUGAACUAUGCCUGAAUAGGGCGAAGCCAGAGGAAACUCUGGUGAAAGCUCGUAGCGAUUCUGACGUGCAAAUCGAUCGUCAAAUUUGGGUAUAGGGGCGAAAGACUAAUCGAACCAUCUAGUAGCUGGUUCCCUCCGAAGUUUCCCUCAGGAUAGCUGGAGCCCGGUGCAGUUUUAUCAGGUAAAGCGAAUGAUUAGAGGUCUUGGGGUUGAAACAACCUCAACCUAUUCUCAAACUUUAAAUGGGUAAGAAGCUCGGCUUGCUUAGUUGAAGUCGGGCCCGGAAUGCCGGGGCUUCUAGUGGGCCAUUUUUGGUAAGCAGAACUGGCGAUGCGGGAUGAACCGAAAGCUGGGUUAAGGUGCCCGAGUCGACGCUCAUCAGAUACCAUGAAAGGUGUUGGUUGAUCUAGACAGCAGGACGGUGGCCAUGGAAGUCGGAAUCCGCUAAGGAGUGUGUAACAACUCACCUGCCGAAUCAACUAGCCCUGAAAAUGGAUGGCGCUGAAGCGUCGCACCCAUACCCGGCCGUCGGGCUGAGGGGCAUGGCCCGACGAGUAGGAGGGCGCGGUGGUGGCUGUGCAGCCUUGGGCGCGAGCCUGGGUGAAGCCGCCACUGGUGCAGAUCUUGGUGGUAGUAGCAAAUAUUCAAACGAGAGCUUUGAAGACUGAAGUGGGGAAGGGUUCCAUGUGAACAGCAGUUGGACAUGGGUUAGUCGAUCCUAAGAGAAGGGAGAGGUCCUUGUGGAGGGCACAAUCGCCUCGGCGACCGUGCCGUCCCUCGAAAGGGAAUCGGGUUAACAUUCCCGAACCGGGAUGCGGAUAGGCCCUAGGCCAUUAGCGGCAACGCAAGCGAACUCGGAGACGUCGGCGAGAGCCCCGGGAAGAGUUCUCUUUUCUUCUUAACGGACUGGCACCCUGGAAUCAGAUUGGCUGGAGAUAGGGUUUAAUGUCCGGUAAAGCGCCACACUUGUGGUGGCGUCCGGUGCGCUCUCGACGGCCCUUGAAAAUCCGAGGGAGUGUUUGAUUCUCGCGCC